RNAcentral lists this ribosomal RNA (605 nucleotides) under uncultured marine bacterium. RNAcentral describes it as "bacterial SSU rRNA". It matches the Rfam family "Bacterial small subunit ribosomal RNA", at positions 879 to 1501 of the family's 1533-position model. The record is from RNAcentral.
AGUACGGUCGCAAGAUUAAAACUCAAAGGAAUUGACGGGGACCCGCACAAGCGGUGGAGCAUGUGGUUUAAUUCGACGCAACGCGCAGAACCUUACCAACCCUUGACAUACUUGUCGCGGAUUCCAGAGAUGGAUUCCUUCAGUUCGGCUGGACAAUGUACAGGUGCUGCAUGGCUGUCGUCAGCUCGUGUCGUGAGAUGUUCGGUUAAGUCCGGCAACGAGCGCAACCCACGUCCUUAGUUACCAGCAUUUAGUUGGGUACCCUAAGGAGACUGCCGGUGAUAAGCCGGAGGAAGGUGUGGACGACGUCAAGUCAUCAUGGCCCUUACGGGUUGGGCUACACACGUGCUACAAUGGCAUCUACAGUGAGUUAAUCUCCAAAAGAUGUCUCAGUUCGGAUUGGGGUCUGCAACUCGACCCCAUGAAGUUGGAAUCGCUAGUAAUCGCGGAACAGCAUGCCGCGGUGAAUACGUUCCCGGGCCUUGUACACACCGCCCGUCACACCAUGGGAAUUGGGUCUACCCGAAGGUGGUGCGCCAACUAUUUAUAGAGGCAGCCAACCACGGUAGGUUCAGUGACUGGGGUGAAGUCGUAACAAGGUAACC